Molecule: ribosomal RNA, 213 nt
Filed under: uncultured bacterium
Lineage: Bacteria
Description: partial 16S ribosomal RNA
Rfam family: Bacterial small subunit ribosomal RNA
Source: RNAcentral
UACGUAGGGUGCGAGCGUUAAUCGGAAUUACUGGGCGUAAAGCGUGCGCAGGCGGUGAUGUAAGACAGUUGUGAAAUCCCCGGGCUCAACCUGGGAACUGCAUCUGUGACUGCAUCGCUGGAGUGCGGCAGAGGGGGAUGGAAUUCCGCGUGUAGCAGUGAAAUGCGUAGAUAUCUGGAGGAAGUACCGGUGGCGGAAGGCGGCGAUCCUAGG